UAUUAGAAAUUUCAUCCAUUUCUAUUAUAAAAACUUAGCGUGGCAGUUAUACGUGAUGUGCCACAUGUACCUCAUGUUUACAUACAAAAACUAUUUUUUAACAGUAUAAAUUGAUGAAAUUUUUAAUA
Gossypium arboreum is the source of this 128-nucleotide microRNA precursor. It matches the Rfam family "MIR7502 microRNA precursor family". The record is from Rfam. Lineage: Eukaryota; Viridiplantae; Streptophyta; Magnoliopsida; Malvales; Malvaceae.